AAACCCCCUCGCCGAAAGACUUAGGGUUCCUGAUCAACGUUAAUCGGAUCAGGGUUAGUCGGGUCCUUAGGCAAAGCCGAAAGGCGUAGUUGAUGGAAAGCUGGUUAAUAUUCCAGCACUUGUUCUUACUUCGAUGGAGUGACAGGGAAGUGAAAGGUCCGCGAUCUUACGGAAUAGAUCGUUAAAGGGUGUAGAUAUAGACUUUGUAGGUAAAUCCGCAGAGACUGUCGAACCUGAUAGUACUCAAAGGCUUCGGCCGGCGAGAUAGUGACCCUAAUCAUGCCCGCGAGAAAACCUUCUAAGUUAUGGUAAGAACAACCCGUACCGUAAACCGACACAGGUAGUCGAGAUGAGUAUUCUAAGGCGCUCGGGUGAGCCGCGGAGAAGGAACUAGGCAAAUUGAUGCUGUAACUUCGGGAUAAGGCAUACCACAGUAAUGUGGUCUCAGUAAAUCGGUUCAACCAACUGUUUAGCAAAAACACAGGGCCCUGCAAAAUCGAAAGAUGACGUAUAGAGCCUGAUACCUGCCCGGUGCUGGAAGGUUAAGGAAGCUUGUUCGGAGUAAUCCAAAGCUUGUGACCGAAGCCCCAGUAAACGGCGGCCGUAACAAUAACGGUCCUAAGGUAGCGAAAUUCCUUGUCGGGUAAGUUCCGACCUGCACGAAUGGUCUAAUGAGUUGAACACUGUCUCCUCCGCGAGCCCGGUGAAAUUGUAGUAUCGGUGAAGAUGCCGGUUACCCGCCACGGGACGGAAAGACCCCGUGAACCUUCACUACAACUUUGCAUUGAUUUUGAGUAACAGAUGUGUAGCAUAGCUGGGAGACUAUGAAGCGGGUACGCCAGUAUCCGUGGAGUCACCGUUGAAAUACCAGCCUUCUGUUACUUAGAGUCUAACCUGGAAACGGGAACAUUGCAUGGUGGGUAGUUUGACUGGGGUGGUCGCCUCCUAAAGAGUAACGGAGGCUCGCAAAGGUUCCCUCAGCAUGGUUGGUAAUCAUGCGAAGAGCGCAUUAGUAUAAGGGAGCUUGACUGUGAGACUGACUAGUCGAGCAGGUGCGAAAGCAGGCUAAAGUGAUCCGGUGGUUCCGCAUGGAAGGGCCAUCGCUCAAAGGAUAAAAGGUACUCCCGGGAUAACAGGCUGAUCUCCCCCAAGAGCUCAUAUCGACGGGGAGGUUUGGCACCUCGAUGUCGGUUCGUCACAUCCUGGGGCUGGAGAAGGUCCCAAGGGUUGGGCUGUUCGCCCAUUAAAGUGGCACGUGAACUGGGUUCAGAACGUCGCAAGACAGUUCGGUCCCUAUCUGUGGUGGGCGCUAGUAAAUUGAAGGGGAUGUGAUCUUAGUACGAGAGGACCGGAUCGCGUGUACCGCUGGUGUAUCUGUUGUGCCGCCAGGUGCAGUGCAGAGUAGCUACGUACAGUACAGGAUAAGCGCUGAAAGCAUCUAAGCGCGAAGCCAACCUCAAGAUGAGUUUACUUACAUAAGAAGGGUCGCAGCAGACUACUGCGUUGAUAGGCUAUAGAUGUAAUACUGGUAACAGUAGAGUCGAGUAGUACUAAUUACCCGUAAGCUUUAAUU
This 1573-nucleotide ribosomal RNA is filed under the name metagenome. RNAcentral describes it as "bacterial LSU rRNA". It matches the Rfam family "Bacterial large subunit ribosomal RNA", at positions 1326 to 2925 of the family's 2925-position model. The record is from RNAcentral.